AUCAUAAUAUAAUUCAUAACAUUCAAAACUCAUUUCAAUUCAUAUAAAACAAUUACAUUUCAUCGAAAAUAAUCAAUAAAGCUUAUGACUCUCUUAAACUUGGCUCGUGCCAAAACUCGUACUCGGUGACACCUUGGCCCGGGCAUCCAAUCGAGUCCCCCAAGGCUGUUAAAACUAUAUAUACACAUAAAACAUGUUUUUACAUUUAAAAACAUAAUCAUUCCUUGGCGUUGGCUGAGUUUCACCCUCACGUGGUGGUUCGGCGUGAAGUGAACUCUAAAUAUACCUUAGGAGAUACCCUCCGCGCCUCUCAUACUAAGGUAAAAUAUAAUGGAGUUUAUUGUGCCCCUCUAAUAGGCUAGUCCACAGAAACCCGCCCACUGCAGUUAGCUAAUCAAAUAACCCACCAAAUCAAUAAACAUUUCGACAGCAUAACAUGGCUAAUAAAAUAUUACCCAGCCUGUGUCACGGCAAAACAAAGCAGUUUAUACAUAUUCCACACAAAACACAAAUCCAACCAUUCAUGCCAUCACAUUGUCAUAAGCCACCAAUUCAAACCACAUAUCAAAACACGAGUAUAUAGUCUCCACUUACUCAAUUUCCAAAACCAGUAUUCAAUUUCAAAACAAGUUAUAAAACUCAUUUCAUUUAACCAACAAUUCAAGUUUAAAACAUAAUAAUUUACCAUUUAAACUCAUUAUUCUUUAAAACAUAAAAACGAGUAGAAACAACUUUAGAUAGUUAACAUGAAAGUUUGUUACUCACAAUAGCGGGAGUUUGGAGUACUCCUAUUCUUAGUCCUCGGGUACAAUAUCUUUACCCUUAUUAGAAGGCUCACCACCUAUACAUAAUACACGACAUGUAAUUCAAUAUAUUUGUGCCAAACUGUUAUAAAAUUAUUUCAGGCUCUAUAUGAAUGCAUGAAAUUAAAUGAGAAUUGUCUGAAUAAUCACUUAAAGACUGUGUUCUACAUGGGUUCAAUUAUGAUCGGACUGAAUUUGUAUUCGACCUAACUCAAACUAUACACUGUUGAAUCAACCAAAACAUCCAAUUGAACUUCAAAUAUAUUCAUUUCACUUCCAAAAUUCCAAAUACACCUAAGUACCUCAAUGAGCUUAAUUGUGACUUAAUUCACCGUAAUUAAAAUUCAUUCCGAUUUCGAUAUCCGAUACCAUAAAUCAUCAAUUAUGAGCUAAAUAACUUGAAAUACAACAAAAUCCAUCAUCAAUAUGUCACCCAUAAAAUUCGGCCAAAGAGGGUUGUUGAAGGGCAUGUGAUUUUCUUGCUUGUUUUUCAUGCCAAACAUCAUCAAACAACUAAAAACACUAAGAUAUCAUGAAAUCUAGCAAAAUCCACCAUCAAAACCUCUCUCCCUAAGUUCGGCCAGCAUGCAAUCCCUCAUGGAAACUUGUGUUUCAUCCAUAGAAAGUGAAACAGAAAGCAUGGGUAAGGUAAAUCUUAAGCUAAAAUUGAAAAAUCUUACCUUUGAUUAUUUUGUUCCUUGAAAUUCAACAAAUUUCUCUUGGAUUUUCUUCUCUAGGGUUUGCUCUUAUUCUUUUCUCUUUGUUCUUUGCUUUGGC
Molecule: long non-coding RNA, 1580 nt
Filed under: Theobroma cacao (cacao)
Lineage: Eukaryota; Viridiplantae; Streptophyta; Magnoliopsida; Malvales; Malvaceae
Description: long non-coding RNA (TCAC_LNC005507)
Source: RNAcentral